Non-coding RNA from Pelobates cultripes (western spadefoot toad), 1267 nucleotides. The record is from the annotation of a GenBank genome assembly. Lineage: Eukaryota; Metazoa; Chordata; Amphibia; Anura; Pelobatidae.
AUCCUAUUGGAUAGUUACUGCAUGGGCCCAUACUUGGGACACAAGUAUGGUGGUACAUCGUUUUAUGAUUACCACAGGUCUUUUUCCACAAAGGCUGCUCUGGCACAGUUUAAUUUUCAGGCAGACUGAAGCCAUUUAAAAAUGGUGCUAUUCUGCAGGCACUUUGUGGGCCUCAGGACACCAGCUCGUGUUAAUUGCUCAUUGACCUACCACACAGUCAACCUGUGUCCUAAUACCCCAGAAGUUGGUUCUAACUUUCCUACCUCUGGCACCACGGCUAGACCUGAGAGAGUUAUAAAAAACAAACUAGGACGUUAAGUGUUUUUUUGGGGGGAAAUCCCAGAUAUGUAAUAAUUGUAAUGCAGGUACUUGCAGUUUCUGUGCCUGCACAUUGUUACAUGUAUGUUCACUACGUUUUAUGGCACAUGCCAAGACGAUGUGCCCAAUAAAAAGUACCCCAAACCCUUUUUGGCUUUGAUCAAUGUGAUCUCUUUCGUUAUGUUAUUGCAUAACCCCCCCCACACACACACACACACAUUUGUUGGAAUUUCACCAUGUUUCACAGAGGGGUUCCAUAUGGGCAUUAUUUACAUGCCAUCAGGCAUAGCUGAAUGUAAGAAUCUGCAGACGGCCUUGGCCAACCCUGAGGCAGUGGACUCUCUAUUAAAAAUUGAGGUGGACCAGGGUUUCCUGCUGGGCCCUUCUGUUCCCUGACUUUUUUCAGUAUGGAGAACUAAUCCCAUAGGGGUGGAAUCAGGAAAAAAUUCAGCAAAGCAAAGGUUGAUCAUCAACCCUCUACUCCCUAUUCUUCUACCCUCCCUAGCCUUAACUCACUAAUUUCUUCAGAGGAAUUCUCCCUCCAGUAUGCCACAAUUGACAAUGCCAUUGACGCUGUUCUGUCAGUGGGGAUUGGUGCAUGGCUUAGUAAGACAUCAUAAACACUUUCAAACUUUUACCAAUCCAUCCCUCUCUGCGGCAUCUGCACGGUGUUAAGUGGCAGGGAUUGUAUUAUUUUCUUUCACGUCUCACUUUUGGUUCUAAAAGCAGUCUGACAUUUUUGCUGGCUGCUGCUUAACAUCUGUAGAUGCCCCAUGGUUAUACAUUAUCUAAACAAUUUCUUGCUUAUUACCGCCUAGUAGCUUUAAAGAUACAAUUCAACUUUUUGAAUAUUUAGGGGUGCCAGUCCCUUCAAAAAAGAUGGAGGGACCUGAUACCUUGUUGAUUUCCUGGGCAUCACACUAGACUCGGUUAACAUGCAAGCCAGCCU